Molecule: ribosomal RNA, 266 nt
Filed under: uncultured bacterium
Lineage: Bacteria
Description: partial 16S ribosomal RNA
Source: RNAcentral
CUGCUGCCUCCCGUAGGAGUUUGGGCCGUGUCUCAGUCCCAAUGUGGCCGAUCAACUUCUCAAUUCGGCUACGCAUCAUUGCCUUGGUAAGCCUUUACCCUACCAACUAGCUAAUGCGCCGCGGGCCCAUCCAAAAGCGGUAGUAUAGCCACCUUUUACAUAGUUACCAUGCGGUAACUAUGGUUAUGCGGUAUUAGCACCUGUUUCCAAGUGUUAUCCCCCUCUUUUGGGCAGGUUGCCCACGUGUUACUCACCCGUUCGCCACU